Molecule: transfer RNA, 72 nt
Filed under: Mayetiola destructor (Hessian fly)
Lineage: Eukaryota; Metazoa; Arthropoda; Insecta; Diptera; Cecidomyiidae
Description: tRNA-Gly for anticodon UCC
Rfam family: tRNA
About the family: Transfer RNA (tRNA) molecules are approximately 80 nucleotides in length.
Source: RNAcentral
GCGUCAAUGGUGUAAUGGUUAGCAUAGUUGCCUUCCAAGCAGUUGAUCGGAGUUCGAUUCUCCGUUGACGCA